ACUCCCUUCGGAGGCAUUAGAUAAUUAUGAAACGAUACAAAAAGAUUAGCAUAGCUUCUGCACAAGGAUAAUAUUUCAACGAGAUGCCUACCAUGCUCUG
Non-coding RNA from Cucumis melo (muskmelon), 100 nucleotides. Lineage: Eukaryota; Viridiplantae; Streptophyta; Magnoliopsida; Cucurbitales; Cucurbitaceae. The record is from Rfam.